GCAACCCGCGGCGCGGCGCGGCGCGGCGGGCGGCGGAGGAGGAGGAGCGCGCGUGUAUGUCUCUCUUGUUCUCAAGCUCAUACAUGUGUGGAAACAUCCUCCCUUUUAAGGAGGUCCAACUCCCACUAAACUAGCGAUGUGGGACUAAACAUUUCCACCUCUUGCCUUGCACAAAUGGGCUGCGUGGGCCUCUAGGAUUUAUUAGGAAUUUCUGAAAUUACAUAUUGGGCUGGUCCAUAAAUACACAAAAUUCCAGCAAUCCCCCACCAGAUCCCAGGGGCACACAAAAUUUGCCUUUGGUUCCAAAACACUGUUUUAUAUA
This 322-nucleotide long non-coding RNA is filed under the name Hordeum vulgare. RNAcentral describes it as "long non-coding RNA (HVUL_LNC019441)". Lineage: Eukaryota; Viridiplantae; Streptophyta; Magnoliopsida; Poales; Poaceae. The record is from RNAcentral.